This is a long non-coding RNA of Pungitius pungitius (ninespine stickleback), 271 nucleotides long. RefSeq lists it as uncharacterized. The transcript has 4 exons. The record is from RefSeq and is a predicted model, not a curated record. Lineage: Eukaryota; Metazoa; Chordata; Actinopteri; Perciformes; Gasterosteidae.
CUACAGACCACAUGAUCAACCAGGGUGAAACUGAAGACGGACAUUAUGCUUCUCUUCUUCAUGGUGAUUCUUGUCUCUAUGAAACACUCAGAGGCUCUGAAGAACAUAAACAAGGGACGAAUGAUGAACCAGAGGAGAGCGAUUACUCAAAUGUGACGAGGUAAACAGCUGCAGGUACUUCAAGUACAACGGACCAUGUAGUACAAUAUGAAUAAAACAUCUGCAUGGACAGAACCAGGGGAACAGAUGACGACAUGAAAAACCACAUCUU